This 460-nucleotide ribosomal RNA is filed under the name uncultured bacterium. RNAcentral describes it as "partial 16S ribosomal RNA". It matches the Rfam family "Bacterial small subunit ribosomal RNA", at positions 338 to 795 of the family's 1533-position model. The record is from RNAcentral.
CCUACGGGAGGCUGCAGUGAGGAAUAUUGGUCAAUGGGCGCGAGCCUGAACCAGCCAAGUAGCGUGAAGGAUGACUGCCCUACGGGUUGUAAACUUCUUUUAUAAAGGAAUAAAGUGAGGCACGUGUGCCUUUUUGUAUGUACUUUAUGAAUAAGGAUCGGCUAACUCCGUGCCAGCAGCCGCGGUAAUACGGAGGAUCCGAGCGUUAUCCGGAUUUAUUGGGUUUAAAGGGAGCGUAGGUGGGUUGUUAAGUCAGUUGUGAAAGUUUGCGGCUCAACCGUAAAAUUGCAAUUGAUACUGGCAGCCUUGAGUACAGUCGAGGUAGACGGAAUUCGUGGUGUAGCGGUGAAAUGCUCAGAUAUCACGAACAACACCGAUUGCGAAAGCAGACUACUACACUGCAACUGACAUUGAUGCUCGCGAGUGUGGGUAUCACGCAGGAUAAGAUACCCGAGUAGUC